UAGGGAAUCUUCGGCAAUGGGGGGAACCCUGACCGAGCAACGCCGCGUGAGUGAAGAAGGUUUUCGGAUCGUAAAGCUCUGUUGUUAAGGAAGAACGAGUGUGAGAAUGGAAAGUUCAUGCUGUGACGGUACUUAACCAGAAAGGGACGGCUAACUACGUGCCAGCAGCCGCGGUAAUACGCAGGUCCCGAGCGUUGUCCGGAUUUAUUGGGCGUAAAGCGAGCGCAGGCGGUUAGAAAAGUCUGAAGUGAAAGGCAGUGGCUCAACCAUUGUAGGCUUUGGAACCUGUAUAAUUUGAGGGCAGAAGAGGAGAGUGGAAGUCCAUGUGGAGCGGUGAAAAGCGUAGAUAAAUGGAGGAACACCGGUGGCGAAGGCGGCUCUCUGGUCUGUAACUGACGCUGAGGCUCGAAAGCGUGGGGAGCGAACAGG
RNAcentral lists this ribosomal RNA (429 nucleotides) under Bacteroidota bacterium. RNAcentral describes it as "Bacteroidetes bacterium partial 16S ribosomal RNA". It matches the Rfam family "Bacterial small subunit ribosomal RNA", at positions 355 to 776 of the family's 1533-position model. Lineage: Bacteria; Pseudomonadati; Bacteroidota. The record is from RNAcentral.